GCCUAAACUAACCCCAUACUCCUCUCCCCCUUCAAUAAAAUAAAAAACAUUUUAAGUUUUAAGUAGAGGCGAUCGAAAAAUUUUAUAGCGCAUCAGAAGUAGUACCGCAAGGGAAAGAUGAAAUAGAAAUUAAAUAAUCUAAAGCCUAUUAAAGCAGAGCUUACAACUCGUACCUUUUGCAUCAUGGUCUUGCUAGUCCAACCAAGCAAAAAGAACUUUUAGUUUGCCUCCCCGAAACUAAGCGAGCUACUUUAAAACAACUCAAAGAGCCAACCCGUCUCUGUAGCAAGAGAGUGGGAAGAUUUUAAAGUAGAAGUGAAAAGCCUAACGAGCUUAGAGAUAGCUGGUUAUUCAAGAAAAGAAUUUUAGUUCUACCUUAAACUCUCUUAUGUCUAAUCACAAAAUAAAAAGUUUAAGAGCUAUUCAAUUAAGGCACAGCUUAAUUGAAACAGGAUACAACCUAAUUUAUAGGGUAAAUAAUUUAUAACUCAUAAGUGGGCCUAACAGCAGCCACCUUUUUAAAAGCGUUAAAGCUUAAAUAAAAAACUAAUUUAAUUUUCUUAUUUACAAUGAACCCUUAACAAAUAUUGAAUGAUUCUAUACAAUAUAGAAAACAUUAUGCCAGAACUAGUAACAAGAAUUAGCCAUUCUCCAAAAUGUAAGAAUAAACCAAAAUGGACAUACCAUUGGUAAUUAACGAAACUAACCCUAAUAUAGCAAAUUACAAGCAAACCCUAUAUGCCUCACCGUUUACCUAACACAAGAACAUUAAUGGAAAGAUUUAAAGGAAAAGAAGGAACUCGGCAAAUCAAACCCCGCCUGUUUACCCAAAACAUCGCCUCUUGAUAAAAUAUAAGAGGUCCCGCCUGCCCAGUGAAACUUAAACGGCCGCGGUACCCUAACCGUGCGAAGGUAGCAUAAUCACCUUGUUCUUUAAAUAGGGACUAGUAUCAACGGCAUCACGAGGGUUAAUCUGUCUCCUUUUUCUAAUCAGUGAAACUGAUCUUCCCGUGAAGAAGCGGGAAUAAAAUCAUAAGACGAGAAGACCCCAUGGAGCUUUAAACCAUACGGCAACUUAGUUAAAUAGACCACCAUAUCUACUAAAAACAUGCACGUCGGCUUUAGGUUGGGGUGACCACGGAGAAUAAAACAACCUCCAUGACGGAAAGACCUAAAUCUUUAUCCAAGAAUCACUAUUCAAAGAAUUAGCAUACUAACGUAUAAUGAUCCGAUUUUUCGAUCAACGAACCAAGUUACCUGGGGAUAACAGCGCAAUUACUUCAAGAGCCCCUAUCGACAGUAGGCUUACGAUCGAUGUUGGAUCGGGUAUCCUAGUGGUGCGCCGCUACUAAAGGUUCGU
Molecule: ribosomal RNA, 1360 nt
Filed under: Feihyla inexpectata (Bornean opposite-fingered tree frog)
Lineage: Eukaryota; Metazoa; Chordata; Amphibia; Anura; Rhacophoridae
Description: partial 16S rRNA
Rfam family: Bacterial large subunit ribosomal RNA
Source: RNAcentral